AGGCCUGUAGAGACAGAGGCAGGGUCUGAUCCGCAGCCUCCAUGGCAGCUGUUGAUCAGCAGUUGCCUCUCUCUUUCUCUCUG
Molecule: non-coding RNA, 83 nt
Organism: Myotis brandtii (Brandt's bat)
Lineage: Eukaryota; Metazoa; Chordata; Mammalia; Chiroptera; Vespertilionidae
Source: Rfam